AGUGAACGCUGGCGGUAGGCCUAACACAUGCAAGUCGAACGGCAGCACAGUAAGAGCUUGCUCUUACGGGUGGCGAGUGGCGGACGGGUGAGGAAUACAUCGGAAUCUACUUUUUCGUGGGGGUUAACGUAGGGAAACUUACGCUAAUACCGCAUACGACCUACGGGUGAAAGCAGGUGAUCUUCGGACCUUGCGCGAUUGAAUGAGCCUAUGUCGGAUUAGCUAGUUGGCGGGGUAAAGGCCCACCAAGGCGACGAUCCGUGGCGGAUCUGAGAGGAUGAUCAGCCACAGUGGAACUGAGACACGGGCCAGACUCCUACGGGAGGCAGCAGUGGGGAAUAUUGGACAAUGGGCGAAAGCCUGAUCCAGCCAUACCGCGUGGGUGAAGAAGGCCUUCGGGUUGUAAAGCCCUUUUGUUGGGAAAGAAAAGCAGCAGGUUAAUACCCCGCUGUUCUGACGGUACCCAAAGAAUAAGCACCGGCUAACUUCGU
Molecule: ribosomal RNA, 491 nt
Filed under: uncultured bacterium
Lineage: Bacteria
Description: partial 16S ribosomal RNA
Rfam family: Bacterial small subunit ribosomal RNA
Source: RNAcentral